CGAAAUGAAAGCCAUUCUAAUUGUCUGCUUUCUCUUGGCUUCCACAUUUUUCAUUCCUGCUUCAAAUGCAGCACGAGAAUUACCCGCUGAAUAUAGAGCAGUAACUGAUCCUACCAGAAGCGGAACUCCAUGCAGUCGUGGAUCACUAUAUAUUCCGUGUCUCCCCGAGAUUCGGCCACCAGAAUCUCAUUGUACCAUCUACAGUCGUGAAGCUUGAUUAACAAAACUAACCGGCCUCAAAAACAGAGGGUACAAAGCGAUCGUACAACAUUCCAGCCGAAUCGAGGCUGAGCAAGAGAGUUACAUCAGAAGGGGGGCAAGAAAAAUGAUAAAAUCUUGACUAAGGAGAGCACCUCGUCUAGCAAGGGCGUCGGCACAUUUAUUCGCCUCUCUAUAACAAUGUCUAAUGACUCUAAUCCUAACUUGGGGAAUAUCUUUCAAAAACUUCCUACAAUCAGCCACCAAAACUUCCUCUAAUUCGCAGUAUUGUAAUUUGCACUCAAUAUGCUACCGUCUUUUCUUUUUUUUUUACCUUUUUUCUCUCUUUGUUGUGAAAAGGAACCCCGGAGAACUAUGUAGUUUGUUAUAACAUGUGCAAAAUAAAAUAACUGAAAA
Quercus lobata is the source of this 615-nucleotide long non-coding RNA. RefSeq lists it as uncharacterized. Lineage: Eukaryota; Viridiplantae; Streptophyta; Magnoliopsida; Fagales; Fagaceae. The record is from RefSeq and is a predicted model, not a curated record. The transcript is spliced from 3 exons.